CAGUCGCGCGGUAAUACAGAGGGUGCGAGCGUUAAUCGGAUUUACUGGGCGUAAAGCGUGCGUAGGCGGCUUCUUAAGUCGGAUGUGAAAUCCCUGAGCUUAACUUAGGAAUUGCAUUCGAUACUGGGAAGCUAGAGUAUGGGAGAGGAUGGUAGAAUUCCAGGUGUAGCGGUGAAAUGCGUAGAGAUCUGGAGGAAUACCGAUGGCGAAGGCGGCCCCCUGGACAAAGACUGACGCUCAGGUGCGAAAGCGUGGGGAGCAAACAGGAUUAGAUACCCGGGUAGUCCCUGUCUCUUAUACA
RNAcentral lists this ribosomal RNA (301 nucleotides) under uncultured bacterium. RNAcentral describes it as "partial 16S ribosomal RNA". It matches the Rfam family "Bacterial small subunit ribosomal RNA", at positions 509 to 808 of the family's 1533-position model. The record is from RNAcentral.